RNAcentral lists this ribosomal RNA (253 nucleotides) under uncultured bacterium. Its description in RNAcentral is "partial 16S ribosomal RNA". It matches the Rfam family "Bacterial small subunit ribosomal RNA", at positions 524 to 776 of the family's 1533-position model. The record is from RNAcentral.
UACGAAGGGGGCUAGCGUUGCUCGGAAUCACUGGGCGUAAAGCGCACGUAGGCGGAUCUUUAAGUCAGGGGUGAAAUCCUGGAGCUCAACUCCAGAACUGCCUUUGAUACUGGGGAUCUCGAGUCCGGAAGAGGCGAGUGGAAUUCCUGGUGUAGCGGUGGAAUGCGCAGAUAUCGGGAAGAACACCCGUGGCGAAGGCGGCUCUCUGGGACGGUACUGACGCUGAGACGCGAAAGCGUGGGGAGCGAACAGG